Molecule: long non-coding RNA, 721 nt
Organism: Lolium rigidum
Lineage: Eukaryota; Viridiplantae; Streptophyta; Magnoliopsida; Poales; Poaceae
Exons: 3
Source: RefSeq, a predicted model, not a curated record
GAAUAACAAGGGAACCAGCCUACCCUUUUCUCAUCGUAUCUUCCAUCUUCCUCUCUCUUACUCCACCACCGCCGCCGCCAUCGACGUUCUUCACCCAAGCUGCCAUCCUUCUCUCCCUCCUAGACCAGAGGAAUCUAAGCACGUUGUGCGGUGGAGGAGCUGGGCUCAAUCCACUCCUCCUAGCCACCGUGGCGCCACCGAUCAAUUCAAGGACGUUGUGCGGUGGAGGAUCUCGGCUCAAUCCUCUCCUUCCGAAGGAGGAUGGCGGCGCAGAGGAGAAUCUCUGGGCGCCCUUCUCCCUCACCCCUCUACGGCGCCGGCGGCAGCGCGCUCGCCGCAGCGCGCGGUGAUGAAGAGGAAAGGAAGGCGGAGCCGGAUGGAGGCGUCUUUUCCGGAAGCUUCCCUACAGCGGGAGCGGCUGUCGUCGCCCAACAGUUCUUUUCAGCGAUGGCGGCGGCGUCGACGCAACAGACGGUGGAGCGGAAUAUCCUGGUUGAGGUAGCAGGGGUAGGAUAGUGGGCUCGGCUGGCAUCCAGGGCGAAGAAGCGGGGCGGGCAUCUGUCCAAGAGCUUGCAGGUGUACAUCUGGUUUGAUUUGCCCGCGGGGAUCUUUAGUUUGCUUCGACAGCUUCUAUUACCGGUGGAGGCAAAGGAAUUUUGGUUUGGUUUUGCCGUCUGCCAUGGUUACAAAGGUCUGGGAGGCAGAGUACGCUCGGACUUGU